UCCUACGGGUGGCUGCAGUGGGGAAUCUUGGACAAUGGGCGCAAGCCUGAUCCAGCCAUGCCGCGUGGAUGAUGAAGGCCCUAGGGUUGUAAAAUCCUUUCGUUGGGGACGAUAAUGACGGUACCCAAAGAAGAAGCUCCGGCUAACUUCGUGCCAGCAGCCGCGGUAAUACGAAGGGGGCUAGCGUUGUUUGGAUUUACUGGGCGUAAAGCGCGUGUAGGCGGGUCGUUAAGUUGGGGGUGAAAUCCCGGAGCUCAACUCCGGAACUGCCUCCAAAACUGGCGACCUGGAGCAAGAUAGAGGCGAGUGGAAUUCCGAGUGUAGAGGUGAAAUUCGUAGAUAUUCGGAGGAACACCAGUGGCGAAGGCGACUCGCUGGAUCUUUGCUGACGCUGAGACGCGAAAGCGUGGGGAGCAAACAGGAUUAGAUACCCCAGUAGUCU
RNAcentral lists this ribosomal RNA (442 nucleotides) under uncultured Hyphomonadaceae bacterium. RNAcentral's name for it is "bacterial SSU rRNA". It matches the Rfam family "Bacterial small subunit ribosomal RNA", at positions 337 to 796 of the family's 1533-position model. The record is from RNAcentral. Lineage: Bacteria; Pseudomonadati; Pseudomonadota; Alphaproteobacteria; Hyphomonadales; Hyphomonadaceae.